Molecule: transfer RNA, 69 nt
Filed under: Rattus norvegicus (Norway rat)
Lineage: Eukaryota; Metazoa; Chordata; Mammalia; Rodentia; Muridae
Rfam family: tRNA
About the family: Transfer RNA (tRNA) molecules are approximately 80 nucleotides in length. Their secondary structure includes four short double-helical elements and three loops (D, anti-codon, and T loops). Further hydrogen bonds mediate the characteristic L-shaped molecular structure. tRNAs have two regions of fundamental functional importance: the anti-codon, which is responsible for specific mRNA codon recognition, and the 3' end, to which the tRNAs corresponding amino acid is attached (by aminoacyl-tRNA synthetases). tRNAs cope with the degeneracy of the genetic code in two manners: having more than one tRNA (with a specific anti-codon) for a particular amino acid; and 'wobble' base-pairing, i.e. permitting non-standard base-pairing at the 3rd anti-codon position.
Source: Rfam by way of RNAcentral
GGGGAUUUAGCUCAGUGGUAGAGCGCUUGCCUAGCAAAUGCAAGGCCCUGGGUUCAGUUCCCAGCUCCA